This 438-nucleotide ribosomal RNA is filed under the name uncultured bacterium. RNAcentral describes it as "bacterial SSU rRNA". It matches the Rfam family "Bacterial small subunit ribosomal RNA", at positions 954 to 1392 of the family's 1533-position model. The record is from RNAcentral.
AUGGGAACGCGAAGAACCUUACCUAGACUUGACAUCUCCUGAAUAGUGUAGAGAUACAUGAAGCCCUUCGGGGCAGGAAGACAGGUGGUGCAUGGUUGUCGUCAGCUCGUGUUGUGAAAUGUUGGGUUAAGUCCCGCAACGAGCGCAACCCUUAUCCUUUGUUGCCAGCGGUUAGGCCGGGAACUCAAAGGAGACUGCCAGUGAUAAACUGGAGGAAGGUGGGGAUGACGUCAAGUCAUCAUGGCCCUUACGAGUAGGGCUACACACGUGCUACAAUGGCGCAUACAAAGAGAAGCGACCUCGCGAGAGCAAGCGGACCUCAUAAAGUGCGUCGUAGUCCGGAUUGGAGUCUGCAACUCGACUCCAUGAAGUCGGAAUCGCUAGUAAUCGUAGAUCAGAAUGCUACGGUGAAUACGUUCCCGGGUCUUGUACACACCG